CGGUGCUCAGAGCUGUGCAGGAAUUGGAAAGUUUCAGAAUAUUUUUGGACCGCAGUUGACUGCAGGUAGCAGAAACCUAGGAAAACGAAACUGCCAAUGGGGGACCACUGUAUUCCUAUUAUCAUGCCUGUUUUGCACAGGGAGAAACCGAGGCUCCCAGAGGUUAAAAAGCUGCCCAAGAUCACACAGGUAAGCAAGUGGCUGAGUCAGGGCUCCGACCCGGGCCAUGAAGCCCCAUCUCAGCUGCUGUGGAUAUUGCCUGCUGCAAGCUCACUGUGUCAGCACCCACCAAAGAUAUACGCCGUGGAAGGGCCCAGUGAGAAAGCAGUGACCAUGUUUUGGAUUUCUCUCCAGGUAAAUAUUUUUUCAAACAGGCCUUCCAUGUGGAAAGGAAUCACCAGAUCAAAUACAGAAUAGCCAGUUAAAUUGGGUGUUUAGAUAAACAAUGAAUAACUUUUUUUACUGUAAGUAUGCCCUGACUUGCUUGUGCUGAGAAGAAGAGUUACUCAUUGUUUAUCUGCAGUUCAAAU
Molecule: long non-coding RNA, 530 nt
Filed under: Homo sapiens (human)
Lineage: Eukaryota; Metazoa; Chordata; Mammalia; Primates; Hominidae
Description: non-protein coding lnc-BMP7-3:1
Source: RNAcentral